UACGUAGGGGGCGAGCGUUGUCUGAAGUUACUGGGCGUAAAGCGCGCGUAGGCGGGUUGGCAAGUCUGCUGUGAAAGCCCGGGGCUUAACUCCGGAGGGUCGGUGGAUACUGCCAGUCUUGAAGGUGCUAGGGAGAGAUGGAAUUACCGGUGUAGCGGUGAAAUGCGUAGAUAUCGGUAGGAACACCAGUGGCGAAGGCGGUCUCUUGGGGCAUUCUUGACGCUGAGGUGCGAAAGCGUGGGGAGCAAACAGG
Molecule: ribosomal RNA, 253 nt
Filed under: uncultured bacterium
Lineage: Bacteria
Description: partial 16S ribosomal RNA
Rfam family: Bacterial small subunit ribosomal RNA
Source: RNAcentral